RNAcentral lists this non-coding RNA (30 nucleotides) under Rattus norvegicus (Norway rat). Lineage: Eukaryota; Metazoa; Chordata; Mammalia; Rodentia; Muridae. The record is from RNAcentral.
UGGAUUGCAUUCUGGUAUUCAGGACCCAAG